Panthera uncia (snow leopard) is the source of this 770-nucleotide long non-coding RNA. RefSeq lists it as uncharacterized. NCBI's taxonomy places the organism in Eukaryota, Metazoa, Chordata, Mammalia, Carnivora, Felidae. The transcript is spliced from 2 exons. The record is from RefSeq and is a predicted model, not a curated record.
GGUUACCCUGCACUUGGGGCCCCAGCUGCUUUGUGGGGUCUGUGACAUCAGCCGUUGUGAUGGUAAUGGAGGGGCCUCUCUCACGGGGGGCUCCCCUUCACCAGCCAGCCCACAUCAGCUCCCAGAGAGGAUUGAAGCUCCUGUUCCCUCAGGGAGGGGGCAGGAUGUGGGCCCAGAACUAGACCCAAGAGAACAGGCCCCCUCCCGGUCUGAACCCACUGCUUAGUGUUAUCUUCCAGGCCCAAGCUAUGACCUUCCUCUCUCCAAAGCUCCAGAAAAGGAAUGGAAUCUGAACAUUGAGACGCUUUUCUGGCCCUAAACAAUCCUUCCAUUCUCUAGGCUCAAUGAUGGGUCUAUUUCCUCCUGUAAAUGGGUCUCGUAAUCUUCAACUUUUACCUUUGCUUCUAAGGGUAAUUAAUUAGAUCUCCCUCUUGUUCUCCCUACACACUCCCCUCUCUGUUACAAGGCUCAGGUUAAGCCGGGUGGAUGGCUUUUCUUUCUUUCUAUUCCAUGGAGUGCUCAUUUUUAAAGCUGAUGGAGUAAGUCCUUGCCCUCUCCAGUGAACCUCUUCUCCAGAGAAGCCUGCUAGGGAAACACCACUUCCUCGGGCCCAGGAAAGCGGCCUCUGCCCAGCUCAAGGCUUUUCAGAUUGUUCCUGAAUAUUUGGAUAAUUAUUCUUCCAGGGUAAUUUUAUAAUUCUCUUUUUCAAGUUUUAAAAGUUCUAUUGUGAUUUUGAUUGGAAUUGCAUUAAAUUUAUAGAAUAAUUUGCA